CCGAAAAACCUUACCUACCCUUGACAUGCCUGGAAUCCCACAGAGAUGCGGGGAGUGCUCGAAAGAGAACCAGGACACAGGUGCUGCAUGGCCGUCGUCAGCUCGUGUCGUGAGAUGUUGGGUUAAGUCCCCGCAACGAGCGCAACCCUUGCCAUUAGUUGCUACGAAAGGGCACUCUAAUGGGACUGCCGGGUGACAAACCGGAGGAAGGUGGGGAUGACGUCAGGUCAUCAUGGCCCUUAUGGGUAGGGCUACACACGUCAUACAAUGGCCGGUACAGAGGGCUGCCAACCCGCGAGGGGGAGCUAAUCCCAGAAAACCGGUCGUAGUCCGGAUCGCAGUCUGCAACUCGACUGCGUGAAGUCGGAAUCGCUAGUAAUCGCGGAUCAGCAUGUCGCGGUGAAUACGUUCCCGGGUCUUGUACACACCGCCCGUCACACCAUGGGAGCGGGUUCUGCCAGAAGUAGUUAGCCUAACCGCAAGGGGGGCGAUUACCACGGCAGGGUUCGUGACUGGGGUGAAGUCGUAACAAGGUA
This 536-nucleotide ribosomal RNA is filed under the name uncultured bacterium. RNAcentral describes it as "bacterial SSU rRNA". It matches the Rfam family "Bacterial small subunit ribosomal RNA", at positions 961 to 1498 of the family's 1533-position model. The record is from RNAcentral.